CUUCAGUCUCUGAAUCUUUCUGAUCUUAUAAAAUUCUUUCCAAAUGUUGGGGGUGGGGGGGUUGUGUUUGUGUGCCUGCCUUUUUAAAAAAGCAGAGAAGAUAACGGAACAUCUUUUAUAGGCUGAAUUUUAUCUCCUCCACCUUCCUCCAACCGGCUGGAGCGAGUUUAAUAAUGGUCAGCGCCUCUGUGUGUUGGAUUUAAUUACGUAGGACACCGCAGACACUUUGCAAGCAAAUGAGCGUGCUAAAUAUUUUAUCAUGCUAUGAGUCCCCUUUUGAGAAAGCUUAAUUGCAGGAAUCUCUAU
Molecule: long non-coding RNA, 306 nt
Filed under: Phascolarctos cinereus (koala)
Lineage: Eukaryota; Metazoa; Chordata; Mammalia; Diprotodontia; Phascolarctidae
Description: WT1 antisense RNA conserved region 8 (ENSPCIG00000007992.2)
Rfam family: WT1 antisense RNA conserved region 8
Source: RNAcentral